AAUCAUAAGAAAUGUUAAUCUUGGAGAAAGAGGCUGUCUUGUAGAACACAAAUGGAACUUUAAAAAAGAAAGCACGGUCCAUGAAACUUAACAGUCCUGCUUUCAGUAGGAGGACUUGACCUGGGAUUUGCUGUGAACCAUGGGAUGUGGCUGAAAGUGAUGAUGGGUCCAUCCCAAGUGGAGGAUUUAAGAGGCACCACAUUUGGUUUUACCCUGGAGUGUCUGCCCUUUGCCAUGAUAACAAUAGGUCCCAUGGAAUGGGCUGAAUGGUGUCCACCCUCCUCCCAAAGGUAUGUUCAUCCAGAGCCUGGAAAUGUCACCUUAUUUGGAAAUGGGAUCUUUGCAGAUGCAGUUAAGUUAAGAAUCUCUUGAUGAAAUCAUACUGCAUUAUCUAGGUGGGCCUUAAAUCCAAUGGCAAGUGCCCUUACAAGAAAAAGGCAGAGGAAGAUUUGAGAUGUACAAGGGACAAAAGAAAAGGGGCUGUGAAAGCAGAGGCAGAGACUGGAGUGAUACAUGUACAAGCCAAGGAAUGCUAAGGACUGCCAGUGACCACCAGGAGCUAGGAGAGAGGCAUGGAACAGAUUCUCCCUCAGCACCUCCAGAAAAAGUCAACAACCCUGUCAACACUUGGAUUUUGGACUCCUGGCCUCCAGAACUGUGAAAAAAUAAAUUUCUGUUGUUUUAAGCCACCCAGUUUGUGGUAAUUUGUUACAGCAGGGUAGGAAUCCAAUACAGCCCAGAUCGUGGCUGCUCUUUAGCUUGAGUCCCAGAAGAGGAGACACAAAGGGCUAUGUUGGGCCAGUGAGCCCAGCCAGGACCAGCAGAGUUGCUACUGACCAAGGAGUAAGAAAUAAACGUUUGUGAUAAGCCACUGAGAUUUUGGAGUAUUUUUUUUUUUUUUACCAAGAAAAAGCCAAGUAAUAUUUCUAUACAGUAAGAAUUAAACUAAUUUAAACUAAGGAAAAUUUGGUUACUUCAAGAUGUAAAAAUUUCUGUUCAACAAAAGCCACCAUAUACAAAGUACAAAGACAAGCCAAGAGAAGAUGGGCAAUGUAUAAAACAAAGGAUUAGAAUCUAGAAUAUCAAAGAAUGCCUGAAAAUCAGUGGAGGUGGGUGUGGAAGGGAGAGAGAGAGAGAAAGAAACACACACACACACACACACACACACACAGAAACCCAGUGAAAAAUGGGAAUAGGAUAUAACAAUCCACAGAAGAAAAAAUGCAAAGGCCAAAAACCGUGAAACAACGCUCAAACUCAUUAGUUACCAGGAAAAUGAAAAUUAAAACUUUGACACCAGUUUACAGCCGGCAAACUGGUAAAGAAAAAGACAUUUAACUUUGAAAAACUAAAUGUUGUUGAUAAUGUGUACACAUUUGGAUAAGAAAGUAAAUUGGUACAUCCACUUUGCAGAGUGAUUUGGCAAUAUCUAGUGAUGCUUAGCACAUGCAUUCCCUGCCUAGCAAUGCCAUUUUCAGGUAUAUCCUCUUGGGAAGCUUUCAUAUUAUUUAGCAAGGAGACACAUAAAAGGCAGCCUUUAUACAGUAUUGUCUGUAAUAGUAACAUCAUUGGCAAAAAUCCCAGCAGCAAUUAGUGGGGGAGAGGCUAUAUAAACUAUAGUGUAGAGUGGAAUACUACAUAGCAGCUAAAAUGAAUGAACUAGGUGUAUUUGAUCUCAAAAACAAAUUGUAUGAAAAAAAAAAGCAAGCUGCAGUUGGAAUGAUUCUAUUCAUAUGAAUUAUUUAUGAAUACAUGUAAUGGUAGGCUAGAACCACACCAAAUUCAACACAGUGGUUGCCCAUAAGAAGGGAGAGAAAAUGGUACUAGCCACAAAAUAAAGAACUUGAAAUUUACUGACAAUAUAUAAAAGAAGAUCUGAAGCAAUUAUGACAAAAUGAUUACAUUUGUUAAUUCUGCAAAGCAUGUACACAGGUUUUGUACUAUCCUUAAACUUUUUUUUUUAAAGAAACUGCUGUACAGAUGAGAACUCUCUCCCCAGGGCACUAGUAUCUGGUCACCUAUGGGACACUGGGAAAGGUUACUGCCCCUCUUUGUCCUCAGACCAGUGGUGCCCUUCACCAGGGUCAGCCUGACUAGCAGGGAGAGGGGACCUGCCCUGAAUGUGAAGUCCUCAACUUAGUCACACACUUGUAUUAAGGCUUUGACACUAUAGAAGCAAUAGUUACCCUUAAAGAGCUAACACCUUAAGCCAUAGCCUGCCUUAGUGCCUUAAUGCCAAUUUUUUUAUGAAUACGGUGUGGCUGAAGUGAGAGCCUGCAGUGCUGGGGCAAAGAAGAAAGAGGCGCUGGUCUCUCAGGGCACCAGGUGGAAGAAAAGGGGCAUGGUUGUCUGGGAUAAGGGUGAGGACCUGACAAAAUGGAAAGAGUGUGUGAUCAGAGAAGAUCCAGUGCGGACGGAAGAAGGACCAUCUGAGACAAAUGUCAUCUUUCCCUACUUCUACCCAACAGGACUGGACAGUUCCCUCAGUCUCCCACAGGAAAUCUCUUGUCUCCCUAUUUCUUGAGCUAGGGAGGAUAACUGAUGCCUCUCUGGUUUCCACUCUUCCCUCCGUCAUUUCUAUUGGAUUUGCUCUACCCUCAAAGAAAGCAAAAAGGUUACAUUCAAGAGAAAUUCCUGUCACUCAGAGCUGCAACUGGAUUCUUCUCAGAUACUUCUUCAUUCAUUCAACCAACUCCUGCACACCUAUUACCUGCAAGUCUUAGUGUUAUGUUCUGUGCCUUCUAUAGCCUUGUAAAAACCCUGCCACCUGCCUUUAAAGAACCACCGUUCUGAUGGGAAGCUCAGACAAGUACACGAGAUGGACUCCCAGAUGGCAAGUUCUAAGAGAGACCCUCUUGCUCCACAUGUGUUUAUUCAGCUGUAUGCGUUUCCUCUUCCUGUCCCAGGCUUACCGAAGACUGUCUGAAAUCCAACCAACACUGUGUGGUGAGACCUGGUGUCCCCUUUCAACCAGAAAACAUGUCUUCUCUCAUAUCAGGAAAAAAAAUAAAAGCAAUCUCAUAACUGGCUUUGCAUUGCAGACAUACUUGUGAGGGUGCAAAUAUGAAAAUAUUUAAAAUAUUUGAUCUAUUUUGGGUGAGGUUUUGUAGCUUUGGCCUGACAGAAUGUCAUCUGAGAGGCAGUGAUUUCUCUUGGGGGCAGGACUAUUUUUAAGAUCCAAAAAAAAGAGAAAACAUAUUUUCAAAGAGAUAGUUGAGUCUGGUACUACAUGGGGAAAGAUGGCUGUUUGGAACAAGCAAACUAGCUAUGUAACUUAGAUGCAUCUAAUCACUGAUCAAGCUCUGCUGGGGUUUGAUCUCAUUGUACCACCGAGAGAGCGUGUGUGAGACCUGAGAUGUUCUUUGCAGCCUCACACGCCUCCUUCACACAGGUUGUCCAGCCGCACCUCACCUCAUGCUCUCUCGUGCUCUCAUCUUUCUCCACUGGUCAGUGCCCUCUGUCUAAAAACAUGUCCAAGGCUUGGGGGAAAAUCACCUUUGGGUCUUGUUUCUUUUAGCUUCACUCCUGUCUUUUCUUUCGAUGUCAAAUUUCUCCAAAUAAUUAAUUUAUCAUGCAGUCUCCCUCCGCCCCGACUCUUCUUCCAUGACUUCCCUUCUUCUUGGCUGUCUCUGAUAGCCCCUGCCACUGGUGUCUUACCUCUCCGGCCUCUCUGAUUUUCCCACUUGGUCUUUCUUUUCCUACAGUGUGGACAUACCCCGGCCUGAUCUCUCUCUUAGAGAAUAAUAAUAUCUACUUCAUGGGGCAGAUGUAAGAAUUAAAUGAGAUAAAAUGUUUAUGAAGUUGGUUUGUGAACUAAACGCUCAUUUAUUUAUUCAUGAAGUACCUUCCCCAUACUGAAACUUUUCUCAGUCCUGUAUAAGGCACUGUACGGCCUCUUCCCGUAAAGGGCUUUGCCUUUUGCUGGCAGACACACGUUCUCAAAGAAACAAAGUAAAGUGGGCAGGUCUUGUCAAAAGAAUUCUGUACAGUGAGGGUCACACUGAGCUACCAGAGAGGGAGAGGUCAUUUUUAUCUUAGUGGUUUUUUUUUUUUUUAAAUCUCACUUGUUCUCAUGUUUUCAACAAUUACCUCUUCUGAUAUGAAAAAUAAAAAUACAUAUUUAGCCCUGAACUUUUGCUUUCAUCAUGAAUUUCCUUGCUCAGAAAUCUUCAAUAUCACCUUACCACUAAAAGGAUAAAGUCAAAACUUGGCUUGGCAUUUUACAGUGAUCCAUAAUCACCCUCUUCUUGCCUCUCUGCUGAUUCUGACACAAACCACUCCCCCUCCCAGUCUGACCUGCACCUCCUGUCUCAAGGACUUCAGUCAUCUUGCUUCUCCCCCUUCACACUUACCUGAGCCCCAGGACCCACUGGAAAGCCAUCCCUAAAAUCUCAGCCCUCAGUCAAUAGCCCUCCUUAAAUGAGCUACAGAACUGCUGUCAGACCCACUCAUUUUCUGUUUAUCCAUUACUGACUUAUUUGAUUUGGAUUUUUACAUCCUAUAUUAAUUAGUUAAUGACUGAUUAAUCAAUUAGUUAUUUAAUUAAUAGUUAAUUAAUUAAUAAUGAACAAUAUUUCUAGAGUGCCUGCUAUGCCUUGUCAACUCUAUUAGGUCCUAGUGAUGUAGUGGUGAACAAGGCACAGAACGUUUAAAAACGGGGCCAUACAUAAAAUUAUGGGCCAUAUAUUAUGCUCAUUUUUAUCCCCCCCAUGCUGACUUUGGGGGCCAGAAUUGGAAGUACAAGCAAACCAAACAGUAAGAUAUCUUGACAAAAACUAUUUAUGUUCAACUGUAUACAAACUCAGGAUCAAAACUGAGAAUUCGGGCUUCCCUGAUGGCGCAGUGGUUGAGAGUCCGCCUGCGGUGCAGGGGACACGGGUUUCGUGCCCCGAUCCGGGAUGAAUCUACAUGCCGCGGAGCGGCUGGGCCUGUGAGCCAUGGCCGCUGAACCUGCGCGUCCGGGGCCUGUGCUCCGCAAUGGGAGAGGCCACAACAGUGAGAGGUCCACGUACCAC
Phocoena sinus (vaquita) is the source of this 5015-nucleotide long non-coding RNA. The record is from Ensembl. Lineage: Eukaryota; Metazoa; Chordata; Mammalia; Artiodactyla; Phocoenidae.